Manis javanica (Malayan pangolin) is the source of this 4529-nucleotide long non-coding RNA. RefSeq lists it as uncharacterized. The record is from RefSeq and is a predicted model, not a curated record. Lineage: Eukaryota; Metazoa; Chordata; Mammalia; Pholidota; Manidae.
CGCUCUCCAGACCACGCUUGGGACUUUCUCACUUUUAUUUAAGAGUCCACCAGGGGAAGAAGGAAAAAAAUAUCCAGAGGAGAUCCGAGUCAAUUGGGAAGAAAAAAGUUCAAAAGGGUGUCCACAGCAGCGAAAAAGCCCAGACUCUGCCGGCCUUCAAACGACAACAGCGCUUUCAGGAGGGUGCGGGGAGACCGUUGCCUGCAGGGACCUGACCAGAAACCUGGCACCCUCAGCCACAUCGCCCCUUUUUUCGGUCAGAAAGGAUUCCAGCUCCACCACCGGGGGGCCCCCUUCCUGGUGCUGGGCAAACACUGAGGCUGUUAAACCAGGACACCAGCGCGUGCUUCGCUCUUCUACAUAUGCUCCUCCUAGUGCUGGAGAAGGCACCUCUGAGGCAGAAAUGUUGACUAGGUUUUUUUUUUGUCUCCUAUUCAGCCUGGCAAAUAACAAACUGUCCUCCCUGCACUCACCCGUGCAGUCACCCGCCAUCCCUAGCACCCCUGCUCAGUAUAGCAGGGGGGGGGCCUCCCCCACGGGAGUGCUCAAUAUGGGGCUAGACGAAAGGGAGGAUUGCCCUCCUGGAACUCAAUAGCACUUUCUGUUUCUCCCCGUAAAACCAAAGCUAUGGCAGUUCUGUAAUUUUGAAGAUGGUGGAGGGGGGAGGAGUGGUUGGCAAAGGAAUAACUGUCACCCUUUUGUGACUCAUCAGCUGGCACUGGUGCCAUGCCUUUUGCUAUUUACCCGCCUCACUCACGAGGAGCUGCUGUCAUUCACAAGGUCUUGCCCUCCAGAAAGAACCCCCCAGCUCUGAACAGCCACCCUCUGAAGGACUAUGAGAGUCACUCCAUCCCUUGCUGACCUGCUGGUGGGCAAGCUAGCCCCACUUAUGUAACUCUGGGUUUGAUGCUCAGUCCUACUGCUGCUGCUUUUUGAAAUCCCAAAGGGGGAAAAAGCCCUAACCAAACACAACAGUAAACAAGUCUGCCCUGUUUAAUGUGGUUACCAUCAGACAUCUGGAAAGAUGGUUUGAUCCUGGCAGCUCACAUUGUUUUCACGAGCAGCCAAAAAGAAUAUUUCAAAUGUUUGCAUUGAGACAAAUUGAUAGAGAGCCUGUGGUGAGGCCCGCUGCAAAUGAAAACUGUCUUGGAGCUGGUGGGGGAAACCUUCCCCUGUCUCUCUCCCCCUCUCUUCCCUUCUCUCUUCUCACCUCCCUUCUUCCUCUUUCUCUCCCCUCUCCCCCACCAUCCCCCCUUCUCCUCCUGGCCUAGUUAGGGACUGGUAACCCCAGCCCACACUGCUGCACACACCCUCUUUCCUGGCUCACCAGAGACUGUCCUGCUUCUCCCUUUCCCAGACUGGGUAGGGCUGGUGACCGGUAGCUGGCUACCAUGGGUGCCCAUUCCACCGGCUGUGCCGGCUUCCAAGUCAGGGGAAGCUCACAGCCAAGCAAGCCAGGCCAGCAUUUAAAACUAAAGCUACCAACUGGGCAAGGGAGGUAGGGGUGGGGGCACCAGCGAAACAGCCCCCCCCCCCCAUUUCUAAGCCUAGGAUCACUUAUAGAAAGCAUGCACAGGUGGGCGAAUAUUCAGGAAACAUUUGGAUUUGGGGCAUUUUCAUUGGAACUUUGGUGGGAUGACUUGCCUCGCACCAUCGACACUUGACAAUAUUUUUAAAGAUGAGGAAGUCCUGCUUCCCCAGGGAGGUGAACGCCGGGGUGAAACGUGUCUUGGCUCGCUCCAUGUCAGCCCUUCUGACCCGGUCAAGACUUUCCAGACGCGACUCCCGGGCUGCUUAGGUCACAGCCCCGGUUGGGGGUGGGAGGAUGCGACAACCGGAGCCGGGUGCCUCCGCAUCCCGGGACCGCUCAGUCACUUGAAACCACGAAGGAUGCCAGGUCUGGCUGUGCGUCCAGGGCGUAUCCUUUCCCUGCUCCUCCACCCCCAGCCCCCAGCCCCGCGGCCCUGGCGCGGCCUCGGCGGGUAUUCGAGCUGGCAGGGGUGGGGACGGGCAGAGGCGGGCGCGCGGGAGAGGGAUGGGCUAGGAGCGCCAGAACUCCAGACUGCACCACUGUGGCUUCGAGUGUCUGGCCCCUCGCUCGAGGCCAUAAUUAAUUUGAGAUUUAUUUUUAUUGGAGAACUCGGGUCUCGUCUGACCUUAGCCAAACAAGGCAGCUCGAGCCGCCCCUGGAUGCGCUUGAAUGCCGGGGAAUAUUUCUGCAGGAAGGCUCUGCAGUCGCGCCUGCUUUGAAUUUGUUUCUCAGACUUCAUCUACUCACAGAUUGAAGGAAGAUUUAGAACCUCUGCUCGCCCUGCCCGCUCCCCACGCUCCUUCUGGCCUGAGCGCCGAGCUGGUUCCAAACUCUACGUGGGAGGCCGCGGCGGCGGGAGGGCCGGGGGCGCACAGCCCCACACGGGGAGGGUCUCCAGGCCCCGCGCCUUGGCGCUCAGGGGCCUGGUCCCUAGACCACGCGGCGUCGAGGAGAAACCUCGAGGGAGUCCAAGGCCGACCCGAGAGAGCAGGCUGACAAGAGGUGGAGACCAGCCAGGUGUCGGGGCUCUCACCCAGUGGCGGCGCCUAGUUGGGGGCUUUGUGGGGAAGGGGAGUUUCAGCCUCCCGGCCGCCCAAACAACGUCCGUUCUGAGUACAGAUCUGGUCCUUGAGAUGCGGCUUCAGGACCUGCCGGCCCGAUGCCGCCCCCGGGCGUGGUCGCUGUGCGCAUUCUGGGGUGCCAGCCUCCUUCGGUCUGCCGGAUGGGGGUGUCACCCACAGAAGGCAGCAUGCGUUGACCCAGCAGGCUGGUUGGUGAUGCAGCGAGAGCAAGGAGUCUAGGAAAUUCGAACAGGCGGUGGAAGUGGGAGGAGAACCCUGCCAGUCUUCUAGGGCGCGCCAGGGGCCUACAGGGAUGUGACCCGCGCCCUGGGAGUGACAAGCGCCUUGCAGAGUUCGCCGUCAGUUUCACCCCAAUGUGUCUGCUGCGCCCUCCACCCGGUAUCUGCUAGUUCUGGAACGUUCUGGUUGAACUCAUUGUGGGACUGGCUCUCCGGUUUUCAACCCUAGCUUUGCGCUUACCAGUUCUGUGACCUCGAUAACUUCCUUAACCUCUCUGUACCUCAUCUGUACAUUGGCUUUAUAAAAAGGACCUACCUCAAAGAGCUGUUGUAAAGAUGAAAUGAGUUAGAACUUGACGACAGCAGAACUUUACGUUAUUAUUUGUAUUUUGGUCUGCCCCUCACGAACUGUUAUGUUGAGCUCAGUUUCUCAUCUGCAAAAUGGACUACCUCUGAAGUUUGUUAUAGUAUUAAACGAGUUAGUACAGGUAGAGUGCUUGCAACAGGGCCUGGCCAAGAUAAGGACUAUCUCUGUGUUACGAUCAAUAUUCACUUACUGCACCCCAGUGUCUUCCCCUUUCUCCCUGCCUCUUGCCAGCCUCCUGUCCUCCAUAAGCACUCUCCUGCGGGUAAACCCCCUGAGCACUCUGUGGUUCUCAGAACCCAUAUCGUUGCCCAGGUGGAGUGGGCACCGUUGACUCCUGAGGGCCGGGCUCGGCUCCUGGCUCCCGGGGCUCUGGGUGCCUGGGCCCGCGGUGUUUGUCAACAAACCCUGAGCCGGUUGUCUGACGCAGAAUGGCAGGGGCUGGUCCGCCAGGUUCUGUUUGUGACCCCUCUGGCAAAUGGUCGGGGUGGGAAGCCGGCGAAACAGACCCAAGAUUGUCCCUGCCUCCCAGACCUUUCGCCGUCAUCAAUGCACCCCUUUGUGCAACAAUACAAACUUUGUGGCUGCUGAAAAAUCCAUUUUUUUUCCCUCUUGAAAAGAGCUCCUGCGGUGAGCGACUCCUCUGGCUGCCCACAGCUCCCGGACUGCAGCCUCUCUCCCUGCUUCCCCGACACAACCUCUCGCUCCCCCGGUCGGGUUUGUUUUCUCUCUGACUCUUGGCCUAGGUCAGGCUUCUGGGCUCCCAACUCACCUCUCUAGGGUUCGUCCUCCCUGAGGCUUGGGGAACCUGCCUGUGUGCAGACUUAGGGGCCAAAGUGAGAGAGAAAGCAGAGCGCGCGCGAGCAACUCUUUGCCCAGGGGCCACUUGCAGCACCGAGGGCAAAGCUGGAAGGGAGGGUGAGUUUCGCCAGUCUGGGUGAGCUGGGAGUCUUGGGGGUGGGUGGGGUCACAGCUUGCUUAACUUCUCCGGACAACCGGAGACCGCAAACCAGCUGUCUUUAGACUAAUUAUAGCAGUUCUGCUACUUCUUGGGAGCCCUUCGUCCAUCUGAUUAUCGAUACAAGGACUCACUCAUUUUUCGUUCAUUCCUCACUGAUUUAACAUCCCUUCUGGGACAAGCUUCCAGGACCCGAACUCCCCGGGUCUAAACUUCUUCAGACCCCAGGUAGGGGAAGAUGCUACCGUGUGUCAACAAAUUUCCCUUUAAAGAUUUAGAAGGUGGGCUGAAUGCAAAACUGGGGCUCCUGAAUUAGACCUGAUAGUCGCACUCUGCCGAGAGGGUCACGUGCAGGCAGAGCCACCGCGCUUGCUUU